This 253-nucleotide ribosomal RNA is filed under the name uncultured bacterium. RNAcentral's name for it is "partial 16S ribosomal RNA". It matches the Rfam family "Bacterial small subunit ribosomal RNA", at positions 524 to 776 of the family's 1533-position model. The record is from RNAcentral.
UACGUAGGGGGCGAGCGUUGUCCGGAAUUACUGGGCGUAAAGAGAGCGUAGGCGGCACUACAAGUCUCAUGUGAAAUACCCGGGCUUAACUUGGGGGUUGCAUGGGAAACUGUAGAGCUUGAGUACAGGAGAAGCAAGCGGAAUUCCUAGUGUAGCGGUGAAAUGCAUAGAUAUUAGGAGGAACACCAGUGGCGAAGGCGGCUUGCUGGACUGAAACUGACGCUGAGGCUCGAAAGCGUGGGGAGCAAACAGG